RNAcentral lists this small nuclear RNA (309 nucleotides) under Nannospalax galili (Upper Galilee mountains blind mole rat). Its description in RNAcentral is "7SK RNA (ENSNGAG00000003019.1)". It matches the Rfam family "7SK RNA". From Rfam's summary of the family: 7SK was discovered as an abundant small nuclear RNA in the mid-70s but a possible function has only recently been suggested. Two independent studies have found that 7SK RNA binds the CDK9/cyclin T complex (known as elongation factor P-TEFb). Lineage: Eukaryota; Metazoa; Chordata; Mammalia; Rodentia; Spalacidae. The record is from Rfam by way of RNAcentral.
GGGGGGGGUGACCUGGCAGCUGUAUCUGUCACUCUAUUCAUCCAGCUGAUUGGCUGUUCAGACAGACGUCACCUUUCUUCCUCAUCAUUUCAUGUGUAUUCUUCUUAAAGUUGUCCACUUGGCCAAAGAGUAUGACCUUCCCUGACAGAGGAGAGCUACUCCUCAGUCAAGGAUAUAUAAGUAGCUUCCAGAACCUCUAAACAAGCUUUCAAGACCACAGCGAUAGCAAAAUACAGGGGCAGACAGCAGCAGCCUCCAACAGAAACAGCAAAAACUGUCAGAACUCUGUGGGACAGAAGGUUCGUAGCA